UCAAGUGGCCGAAUAGGCGGUAGCGCAGGAUAGAGUUCUUUCGAUGAAGCCGGCCUGUGAGGGAUCCGGUGGAGAGAUCACUAGUGAGAAUGAUGACAUGAGUAGCGACAAAGAGUGUGAGAGACACUCUCGCCGAAAGUCCAAGGGUUCCUGCUUAAAGCUAAUCUGAGCAGGGUAAGCCGGCCCCUAAGCCGAGGCCGAAAGGCGUAGGCGAUGGGAACCAGGUUAAUAUUCCUGGGCCGUGGAGUGGUGACGGAUCUCGGGUGUAGUUCAGUCUUAUCGGAUUGACUGGGCUGCUGAGAGGUUCCUGGAAAUAGCCCUCCUGUCAGACCGUACCCUAAACCGACACAGGUGGACUGGUAGAGCAUACCAAGGCGCUUGAGAGAACGAUGUUGAAGGAACUCGGCAAAAUACCUCCGUAAGUUCGCGAGAAGGAGGCCCGGUUCCUAGGCAACUAGGGGCUGGGGGCACAAACCAGGGGGUGGCGACUGUUUAUUAAAAACACAGGGCUCUGCGAAGUCGCAAGACGACGUAUAGGGUCUGACGCCUGCCCGGUGCCUGAAGGUUAAAAGGAGAGGUGAGAGCCUUGAAUUGAAGCCCAGGUAAACGGCGGCCGUAACUAUAACGGUCCUAAGGUAGCGAAAUUCCUUGUCGGGUAAGUUCCGACCUGCACGAAUGGCGUAACGACUUCCCCGCUGUCUCCAACAUCGACUCAGCGAAAUUGAAUUGCCUGUCAAGAUGCAGGCUUCCCGCGGUUAGACGGAAAGACCCCGUGCACCUUUACUACAGCUUCGCACUGGCAUCAGGACUGCAAUGUGCAGGAUAGGUGGUAGGCUUCGAAGCAGGGACGCCAGUUCCUGUGGAGCCUCCCUUGAGAUACCACCCUUUGCAUUCUUGAUGUCUAACCGCGGUCCGUUAUCCGGAUCCGGGACCCUGCGUGGCGGGUAGUUUGACUGGGGCGGUCGCCUCCUAAAGCGUAACGGAGGCGCGCGAAGGUUGGCUCAGAGCGGUCGGAAAUCGCUCGUUGAGUGCAAUGGCAGAAGCCAGCCUGACUGCGAGACUGACAAGUCGAGCAGAGUCGAAAGACGGCCAUAGUGAUCCGGUGGUCCCGAGUGGAAGGGCCAUCGCUCAACGGAUAAAAGGUACGCCGGGGAUAACAGGCUGAUACUGCCCAAGAGUCCAUAUCGACGGCAGUGUUUGGCACCUCGAUGUCGGCUCAUCUCAUCCUGGGGCUGGAGCAGGUCCCAAGGGUACGGCUGUUCGCCGUUUAAAGAGGUACGUGAGCUGGGUUUAGAACGUCGUGAGACAGUUCGGUCCCUAUCUGCCGUGGGUGUAGGAGACUUGAGAGGAGUUGCCCCUAGUACGAGAGGACCGGGGUGAACGAUCCACUGGUGGACCUGUUGUCGUGCCAACGGCAGUGCAGGGUAGCUAUGAUCGGACAGGAUAACCGCUGAAGGCAUCUAAGCGGGAAGCCCCCCUCAAAACAAGGUCUCCCUGAGGGCCGUGGAAGACCACCACGUCAAUAGGCCGGAGAUGUAAGCGCAGCAAUGCGUUCAGUUGACCGGUACUAAUCGCCCGAUAGGCUUGAUUUGAAAUCAAGCGCGAGAAGGGCGUUUGGUGAAUGCCUUGGCAGCAAGAGGCGAUGAAGGACGUGAUACUCUGCGAUAAGCCAUGGGGAGCUGAGAAUAAGCUUUGAUCCAUGGAUUUCCGAAUGGGGCAACCCACCUGACAGUUCGUUAUGAUCUGCGCGAGCAGUUCAUAAUGGAUUGAGACAGGUACUUAAGACCUGAAUACAUAGGGUUUUAAGAGCAAACCCGGGGAACUGAAACAUCUAAGUACCCGGAGGAAAGGACAUCAAUUGAUACUCCCCUAGUAGCGGCGAGCGAACGGGGACCAGCCGAGCCUUGAGAGUGAGAAGAACAUGUUGGGAAGCAUGGCCAUAGCGGGUGACAGCCCCGUAUUCGAAGCUCGAUGGGACGUAUUAAGUAGGGCGGGACACGUGAAAUCCUGUCUGAAGAUCGGAGGACCACCUUCGAAGGCUAAGUACUCCUUGCUGACCGAUAGCGAACCAGUACCGUGAGGGAAAGGUGAAAAGCACCCCGACGAGGGGAGUGAAACAGUACCUGAAACCGAACGCCUACAAUCAGUCGGAGGCUCCUUGCGAGCUGACGGCGUACCUUUUGUAUAAUGGGUCAUCGACUUGGUCUCACGAGCAAGCUUAAGCCGUUAGGUGUAGGCGCAGCGAAAGCGAGUCUUAAUAGGGCGCAUGAGUUCGUGGGAUCAGACCCGAAACCGAGUGAUCUAGGCAUGGCCAGGUUGAAGGUGCGGUAACACGCACUGGAGGACCGAACCCACAUCCGUUGAAAAGGAUCGGGAUGAGCUGUGCCUAGGGGUGAAAGGCCAAUCAAACUCGGAGAUAGCUGGUUCUCUGCGAAAUCUAUUUAGGUAGAGCGUCAUCCGAAUACCCCGGGGGGUAGAGCACUGGAUGGGUAAUGGGGCCCCACAGGCUUACUGAUCCUAACCAAACUCCGAAUACCCGGGAGUACUAGAUGGCAGACACACUGCGGAUGCUAACGUCCGUAGUGGAGAGGGAAACAACCCUGACCGACAGCUAAGGCCCCCAAUUCAUGGCUAAGUGGGAAAGCAGGUGGGACGACCAAAACAACCAGGAGGUUGGCUUAGAAGCAGCCAUCCUUUAAAGAUAGCGUAACAGCUCACUGGUCUAAACAAGUUGUCCUGCGGCGAAGAUGUAACGGGGCUCAAGCCAUGAGCCGAAGCUUCGGAUGCCGUAAGGCAUGGUAGCAGAGCGUAGUGUGACAUAGAACUCAUCCUGUA
RNAcentral lists this ribosomal RNA (2835 nucleotides) under Ruegeria intermedia. RNAcentral's name for it is "bacterial LSU rRNA". The stretch from base 1 to 1592 matches the Rfam family "Bacterial large subunit ribosomal RNA", at positions 1212 to 2925 of the family's 2925-position model. The record is from RNAcentral. Lineage: Bacteria; Pseudomonadati; Pseudomonadota; Alphaproteobacteria; Rhodobacterales; Roseobacteraceae.